AUGUCCGGGCGCGGCAAGGGAGGCAAGGGGCUGGGCAAGGGCGGCGCCAAGCGCCACCGGAAGGUCCUCCGCGACAACAUCCAGGGCAUCACCAAGCCGGCGAUCCGGAGGCUGGCGAGGAGGGGCGGCGUGAAGCGCAUCUCCGGCCUCAUCUACGAGGAGACCCGCGGCGUCCUCAAGAUCUUCCUCGAGAACGUCAUCCGCGACGCCGUCACCUACACCGAGCACGCCCGCCGCAAGACCGUCACAGCCAUGGACGUCGUCUACGCGCUCAAGCGCCAGGGCCGCACCCUCUACGGCUUCGGAGGCUAG
RNAcentral lists this ribosomal RNA (312 nucleotides) under Triticum aestivum (bread wheat). RNAcentral's name for it is "partial small subunit ribosomal RNA". Lineage: Eukaryota; Viridiplantae; Streptophyta; Magnoliopsida; Poales; Poaceae. The record is from RNAcentral.